CACACGCACCCCGGAACCUUCUCCGGCCGCGCGCCCAGGCCUCCUCCCAGCCAGUGGCCCACCCCGUGAGCCUCCAGGCUCACCUUCCCAGGGUCACCUGGGCGAUUUGUCCAGGGUCACAAAGCGAGCGAUGGCAGCGACCAGUGGGGAAUGCCAGCCUGUCGUCCAGCCUGCACGCCACCGCCCAUUGGUGGAUUACGGGGAGAGUCUAAACAAAGUGAAAACAGGAGUUCCCGUCGUGGCACAGCAGAAAGGAACCUGACUAGGAUCCAUGAGGACACGGGUUCAAUCUCUGGCCUCGCUCCAGGGGUUAAGGAUCCGGUGUUGCUGUGGCUGUGGUGUAGGCCGGCAGCUGCAGCUCCGAUUCAACCCCUAGCCUGGGAACUUCUCUAUGCCGCGGGUUUGGCCCUAAAAAACCAAACAGACAAAAAACAAACAAACAAAAAAAGAAGUGAAAACAAAAAGUAUUACUCAGCAAGUGGUACCUACAAACACAUCAGAGCUGGUCUGUAAAGAAGCCACCACAGCUCAGCUCCACGGUAUCACCAAACUCGGCUCAGCGCCCUCAAGUCACAGGCACACGCCGACCCCCCCAUGUCACCCCAGGCCUCUGAAGUUGAUCUCCAGCCACGGCUGAAAUGGAAGCCACGACGUGCUCCUUCAUCUCUCGAGACUUUGAGGAGUUCCCGCUCUGGCGCAGUGGGGUAAGAAUCCAGCUGCGGUCGCUGUGGAGGUGCAGUUCCAUCCCUGGCCCGGCACAGUGGGUUAAAGGGUCCAGGGUUGCUGCAGCUGCAGCACAGGUCACAGCUGCAGCUCAGAUUUGAUCCCUGGCCUGGGAACUUCUACCUGCUAUGCAUGUGGCCAUGAAUAAAAAAGACAAAAAAAAAAAAAAAGACUUUGAGGAGGGGUGGCACAAAUCUAAAGUUCUCGGUGCACCUCCAUGAAGAGCCGUUUGGGGGGUAUCUGGGUACUCGAGAGGCCACUUGUGGGCCAUGUCCCCCAAAAGACGUGCUCAAGUCCAAACUCCGGGUAGCUGGGAAGCUGACCUUCUUUGGAGAAAGGGCCUCUGCAGAUCAAAUCACGAUGAGGUCCUGCGGGCUCGGCGUGGGCCCUGCCCCUGGUGACCAC
Molecule: long non-coding RNA, 1128 nt
Filed under: Sus scrofa (pig)
Lineage: Eukaryota; Metazoa; Chordata; Mammalia; Artiodactyla; Suidae
Description: lncRNA (ENSSSCG00015008841.1)
Source: RNAcentral